Molecule: transfer RNA, 61 nt
Filed under: Laemobothrion tinnunculi
Lineage: Eukaryota; Metazoa; Arthropoda; Insecta; Psocodea; Laemobothriidae
Description: tRNA-His
Source: RNAcentral
AAAGAAAUAGUUUAAAAAGAACAAAAGUAUGUGGACCUUUAGGUGUAAAUUACUUUCUUUA